Molecule: transfer RNA, 85 nt
Filed under: Erysipelotrichaceae bacterium
Lineage: Bacteria; Bacillati; Bacillota; Erysipelotrichia; Erysipelotrichales; Erysipelotrichaceae
Description: tRNA-Leu
Rfam family: tRNA
About the family: Transfer RNA (tRNA) molecules are approximately 80 nucleotides in length. Their secondary structure includes four short double-helical elements and three loops (D, anti-codon, and T loops). Further hydrogen bonds mediate the characteristic L-shaped molecular structure. tRNAs have two regions of fundamental functional importance: the anti-codon, which is responsible for specific mRNA codon recognition, and the 3' end, to which the tRNAs corresponding amino acid is attached (by aminoacyl-tRNA synthetases). tRNAs cope with the degeneracy of the genetic code in two manners: having more than one tRNA (with a specific anti-codon) for a particular amino acid; and 'wobble' base-pairing, i.e. permitting non-standard base-pairing at the 3rd anti-codon position.
Source: RNAcentral
GCACCGGUGGCGGAACAGGUAGACGCGUACGUUUGAGGGGCGUAUGGAGUAAUCCGUGCAAGUUCAAGUCUUGUUCGGUGCACCA